This 333-nucleotide unclassified non-coding RNA is filed under the name Cercozoa sp. Its description in RNAcentral is "partial contains small subunit ribosomal RNA, internal transcribed spacer 1, and 5.8S ribosomal RNA". The stretch from base 1 to 47 matches the Rfam family "Eukaryotic small subunit ribosomal RNA", at positions 1785 to 1831 of the family's 1831-position model. Lineage: Eukaryota; Cercozoa. The record is from RNAcentral.
AAAGUCGUAACAAGGUUUCCGUAGGUGAACCUGCGGAAGGAUCAUUAACACGUAUCCACGUAUCAACCCCUCUGUGAAAACCUAUCUCUUGUAAGGCUUGGUCUUAGUGUGCCGUUCGCAUAAGUCCUAAUGAUGGAGGCUCUUCGGAGCCUAGGGCUUGAACAGCAUGUGUUUGACGUCCAGCCGCCACUUUUCCAUCGUUGGUCCUUUACAACUUUUAACCCCUUUGUACUCUUUUGUACUGAACCAAUUCUUCGAUGCUCUUUUAUUUAGAGUGACGAUAGAUAUUACGAAACUAAAGAACAACUCUUAGCAACGGAUAUCUUGGUUCCC